This 459-nucleotide ribosomal RNA is filed under the name uncultured bacterium. RNAcentral describes it as "partial 16S ribosomal RNA". It matches the Rfam family "Bacterial small subunit ribosomal RNA", at positions 338 to 795 of the family's 1533-position model. The record is from RNAcentral.
CCUACGGGUGGCAGCAGUGAGGAAUAUUGGUCAAUGGGCGCGAGCCUGAACCAGCCAAGUCGCGUGAGGGAAGACGGUCCUAUGGAUUGUAAACUUCUUUUGUCGGGGAGCAAAAGACGCCACGUGUGGCGUUCCGAGAGUACCCGAUGAAAAAGCAUCGGCUAACUCCGUGCCAGCAGCCGCGGUAAUACGGAGGAUGCGAGCGUUAUCCGGAUUUAUUGGGUUUAAAGGGUGCGCAGGCGGAAGAUCAAGUCAGCGGUAAAAUUGGGAGGCUCAACCUCUUCGAGCCGUUGAAACUGGUUGUCUUGAGUGAGCGAGAGGUAUGCGGAAUGCGUGGUGUAGCGGUGAAAUGCAUAGAUAUCACGCAGAACUCCGAUUGCGAAGGCAGCAUACCGGCGCUCAACUGACGCUCAUGCACGAAAGUGUGGGUAUCGAACAGGAUUAGAUACCCCAGUAGUC